Long non-coding RNA from Bactrocera neohumeralis, 957 nucleotides. RefSeq lists it as uncharacterized. Lineage: Eukaryota; Metazoa; Arthropoda; Insecta; Diptera; Tephritidae. The record is from RefSeq and is a predicted model, not a curated record. The transcript has 3 exons.
UGUGCUAAAUUUUUCCACGUAAAAGGUUUAUGUUCGAAAGAUCAAACAAAUUUUGCGCACGAAAAUUUUCCUUGGCAAAGUAAGCACAAAUUCCGCGCCACCAAGACUCCAACACUCAAGUGCAUUUUGGAACAUUUAAAUCAUUACAACGUCUACAUUUUGCUUUUGCUAAUAACAAUAAUAAAUAAUUUUAAUUACUUUUUUUUUGUAAUUUUAUAUGCUCAUUCCAUUGAGUUAGCGGACGCUUGUGAUGCAAAAUAUCCCGCCAAGCGGUGUGUGGCACGUAGACAAAAGCAACAGCAACAAAUUGCACGUACGCGCCAAGUGGCAGCUGUUGCAUGCAACAACAAUAGCAAAUUAAUAAAUCUAAAUGGUAGACAUCGGCGCGCCACUUGGAUUCGUGUCUGAAUCGGGACUAUCAAGUGCAAGGUUGCGCGCUAGCAGGCGUCUAAUUUUAGUGAAGACCGGUGGCAAAUUGGCACCAGCAUGCACACGUACACAUUAUAUGUACAGUAAAAUCACGAUAAGACUUCGCUAACAUGAAAAUAAGUUGCAUAAUAAAAGUAUUCUUGCAUUCAUUAGAUGUUUGGAUGAUUUCAAUUUGAGAAGAAUUAUCAAUGAUCUACUGUAGUGAAUUCGCUGCCACUUUUCAAGGGGAAUUCCACAGAAAUUGAAGAUUAUCUUUGUAUUGAAAAUUAUUUCUGUGCUCAGUUGACGCUGUAAAAUUUUCAGCAAUUUAAAUGAGCUUCCGAAGACCGACUAGCUUUUUGCGCUUUAGCAAAUGCGUUGGCUGUGGCUUAAUUCGUCGAGAUGUGGUUGAUCUGUCAUAUUUCCGGAUAAACAAUUCAGCUUUUUGUCGAGAUGUAAGACAACAGGAGCAACAUAUAUAUGUAUGACCUCAGGAUAUAUUUCUGACUUUGUUUAAAACAGGUAAACGUUUAUCUCAAUAAACGGAAA